UGAAGAAUAACACAACACUUAAGGUAUCAGCACAGUUAAAGGAAGGAGAUUCUUACUGGUGGAAGACAACUUCACCUAACUUAAUGCAGACAGAAAUCAAGAUGUUGAUUUUACAUAUCAAAUAUCCAGAAUUCCUAAACACUUUGUUGUAGAAUAAAAGCUGAAAUGCUAAGCAGAACUGGAUCUGAAAACUGUGCCAUGCCAUGCCACGUCAGCAAGUCAGCUACCUCUUUAUCCUGCCAUGGACCUAUUCAUCCCCAGUAGGCACCAUUUGAGAGAGCUA
Molecule: long non-coding RNA, 283 nt
Organism: Passer domesticus (house sparrow)
Lineage: Eukaryota; Metazoa; Chordata; Aves; Passeriformes; Passeridae
Exons: 3
Source: RefSeq, a predicted model, not a curated record